AUGAUAAGAGAGACUUGGUCCACAGCAACAUUCCAGAUUUUUGGCCUUGCAGUGGGAGUUGUCUGGGGACAUGUGGCAGAGUGUCUUGUCCGAGCCUAAAUCAUGAUUCAGAUCCUGAUCAUGUCUGAUGCAAUCAGACCCGUGAUUUCCCAAGUACCUGUCAACUGCGUGGGCAGAUCUACAUAACGAGGAAGGGACCUGUAAGGAGGACAACUUCUAUGUGGGCACUUAGAGAGAGGCAGAAACAGAAGGAUAGACAGAACUCAAAAUUGGCUUCCUAGUCUAGCCCCACGGGUUUGUAGUUUAAGAAAGGCAUAAGCUAUAUAUACAAGCUUAAAGAUGCACAAACAGGCAAUUUAGGUAAUCUCAAGCUCUGUUAGCCUGGUUCCCUAUAAACAGCGAUGGUGAAUGGUGGCUUGGCCCCAUUUCUGAAUGGAGUACACCUUCACUUUGCUCUCGUACAAUGAAGGCUAUAGUACAUUUGGGUCUCCUGGCAUCUUGGGGGUUCAUGGCUUUGACGAUCCAAGAGAUGGACUUUGAGAAGCAGCCUUCUCACAAAGAGCGGUGAGGACACUCUUCCUUCAAGAGCUUUUCAGAGUCCUGUCCCAGGUUCUGGGAGAAGAUACAGCGGGUGGAUUGUUCCAGGAAUGGGAGAACCCAAAGUCACCAGCACACCAGUGAUUACAAAAGUGAAUAAUCCUUGUUCGGACCUGGGCUGUCAACAAAGACUGAGUGAAUGGCAGCACAGAGAAUGGUGUACCAAGCAGUCAAGCAGUGGGACAGCCUUCCCCAGCCACCUCUUCUCUCUCAGGCUAAGCCUUUGAUGUGCCCCAGAAAGGCAGGUUUCAGCAUUUUUCACAAAGGAGCUGCCGUAGAGAAACUAAGUUGUGUCCAUCAAAACCAUUUAUGAGAUAGGGUCUAAAUUUUGUUUUCUUAUGCAACUGGGAAAAUGUCUCAGAUCACAUUUUUCCUUUCUCUGUAUUAACAGAAGAUCAUAUUUUCACUUGGGUCUAAAAACAGACACCUAACACGGCAAUAAACUCCUUCAUAGU
This is a long non-coding RNA of Felis catus (domestic cat), 1052 nucleotides long. RefSeq lists it as uncharacterized. The transcript has 3 exons. The record is from RefSeq and is a predicted model, not a curated record. Lineage: Eukaryota; Metazoa; Chordata; Mammalia; Carnivora; Felidae.